GUAUUGUCGGCCUGUCGCUGCAAAUUCAGCGAACGGGCGUAGGAACCCGGGAA
This 53-nucleotide non-coding RNA is filed under the name Pseudomonas sp. HPB0071. Lineage: Bacteria; Pseudomonadati; Pseudomonadota; Gammaproteobacteria; Pseudomonadales; Pseudomonadaceae. The record is from RNAcentral.